Hyposmocoma kahamanoa is the source of this 2403-nucleotide RNA transcript. It is a transcript of the gene named histone deacetylase 11, with no coding region annotated. Lineage: Eukaryota; Metazoa; Arthropoda; Insecta; Lepidoptera; Cosmopterigidae. The transcript is spliced from 9 exons. The record is from RefSeq and is a predicted model, not a curated record.
ACAUCCGCGAAAAUCUGAAAAUCACAUGAAAAUGAUCAUAAUGGAAAACAAACCCAGGAUUAUUUAUUUCUGCAUUUAUCACGCAUAAUGCGUAUUUAAUCUUCCACCAUGGAAGAAGGCGAAUCUAAUUUGUAUUUCGACAUCAGAGACGACCAGUGGCCUCUAAUAUACGAUGAUCGAUACAAUGUGUCCGUUAUGGGGCUAGAGAGAUUGCAUAUCUUCGAUGCAAAGAAAUGGCGCAACAUAAUACAGAACCUGAAAGAGUCAGGAUUCCCCACAGAUGACAUCAUAGUGAGGCCAUUGGAGGCUCAAAAGAGUGAUCUCCUUCUUGUACAUACUAAAAAGUACUUGAAGUCAUUAAAAUGGAGUACAAAAGUAGCUGUAAUAACAGAAGUGCCAGUUGUUGCUUUGUUACCCAAUGCCAUUGUCCAGUAUUCGUAUCUGAAGCCCAUGAGGUUACAAACGGGGGGGUCAGUGCUCGCUGGUAAGUUAGCACUAGAGCGCGGCUGGGCUAUCAACGUAGGGGGUGGGUUCCAUCACUGCAGCGCGGAUCGCGGUGGCGGAUUCUGCCCGUACGCGGAUAUCACGUUGCUCAUACAGUUUCUUUUCACGACCGGACGGAUACAGAACGCUAUGAUCGUCGAUUUGGAUGCUCAUCAGGGAAACGGCUACGAGCAUGAUUUUCUGGGUGUAUCCGAGGUGUACAUAAUGGAUAUGUACAAUCGAAAUAUCUACCCGCGGGACCGCGUGGCAAAGCAGGCCAUUCGACGCAAAAUCGAGCUCGGGAACAAGGUCGAGGAUUUAGAAUAUAUGCUCAAGUUACGCACAAACUUGAAGGCGGCUCUGGAAGAGUUCACGCCCGACAUCGUGGUAUAUAACGCUGGCACAGACGUGUUGGACUCGGACCCGCUGGGACUCAUGAGGAUUAGUGAAAUUGGUAUAGUAAAAAGAGACGAAUUCGUGUUCGAAAUGUGCGUAAAGCGGGGAAUCCCCGUAGUGAUGCUCACGAGUGGGGGGUACCUUCGCAAGACGGCCAAGAUCAUCGCCGACUCCAUCAUUAACCUGCGCAACAAGGGCCUUAUCGGCGGCAAGGAAUUAACAUUUUAGAAAACGUAUUGUUAGACAAUGGCCGUAUGCAUGGGAACCACAAAUCAAACUACGUCAUCCCAAAAAUACUUAUAGGACAUGUGAACUGUAUAUUCCAUGAAACAGUAAUCUCGCAGACUUAUGCUUUAUUCAAUAAAUGAAUAAAAAUUUAAACAAUAUCGUCGCUAAAAUGAAAUUUGUGAUCCAUGGUAUUUUUAUCUUAAACGGUGUCAUUUAAAAUUAAGCGAAUUUAAACCUUAUUUAUAUUAUUAUUUAAAGGCUCAUAAGUUACAUUUACACCCUUACCAUACUGCGGAACUAAUAACUGCUGUGGAUAAUUUUGAUAUUGAUGUUAAAAAUCAUUACUACCACCACCAGGUUAGGGUCAAUUGGUAACUUGUCAACCUGUAAAUAAGUGACUGGCAUACUUAUUAGUGCUCGUAGUAAAAAGUUAUAUUUCAUAUACUAUCUCUUAGGUUUACUUUACAUUGCUGCGAAACGGAAUGAAAGUGAAUUUUUGUAACGAAAUUGUAGAUAAAAUGUUUAUUUUAUAGUGUUUUUAUAAAGCACAAGCAAGACAAAUGUAAUACUAUACAAAACUUACAUAUUAGAAAGUUUUAAUUAGAAAAUAUCCUCGAGAGCCGCAACCGCACAUCCGGAAAGCUAGCAACAUUUCCCUUUUGAAUAAACUUAUUCUUUGGCGCAAAUACUGCCAGUUGUGGGCACCGGAGGCUUCUAGGAGGCGAUUUGACAGUUUCGCCUGCGCCCCCAGUGACCCUGUAGCGCUGAGCAAAGUUGUCCUUUUGCGGUUCUCGGCCACUCUGGCGACAGAGCCUGCGCCACGACCCAUAGCUUAAUGAACUUUAUUUCAACUGUGUAACGUACAAAUUAGCGUAGUAUCUAGUAUAUACGUUGCACAAUUGAUAGUUCACGUCCAUUCCGUUCCGAUGUAAAUUGAGCCUUAAAAUAGGAGUUAAAAUCGCGCCAAAUAGUGCUGACUGAUAUAGUGAUGAUUUAAAAGAUGUUUUGGAAAGUGUGUAAACUUAAAACAUUAGUACAAUAUUAAAUAAAUAGAUACCUUAUAAUAUCGUGCUGAUUCACCUGCAUUGUCUAGUCAUAAUUAUAGUGCCAAUAUUCAGACAAAAUUAGGUAAUUUGGGAUUGGCACGCGUAAGUGGAAAAAAAGAGGGGUAUUGAACAGCACAAAUAGUACUUAUUAUUCGCUCAUAGUUCCAGUUUCUACCUAUAUGAUGGGAUUUGGAAGUAACUAACAUUCCAUAGGAAUAGGAAAUGAUAUAACAGAAUAUUUUUCCUCAUA